Molecule: long non-coding RNA, 2220 nt
Organism: Cygnus olor (mute swan)
Lineage: Eukaryota; Metazoa; Chordata; Aves; Anseriformes; Anatidae
Exons: 3
Source: RefSeq, a predicted model, not a curated record
GCACAUGCUUUAGCUUGUAAAAAAAAAAAAAAAUAAAAUAAUAAUAAUAAUAAAUCAUCUGCAUAUGGCAGAACUGCAAAUAUAAUAGAAUUGCAAAAUGGAAAAAUAUGUUUUUUUUUCCCUACAAACCAAAAUGUUUUCUAGUGCAGGACUGUUGCUAUCAGGAAAAUCAUGAUGCCAAGUCAAGAGGUUUAAGAGGAACUAAAUCAUAAAAAUCAUAACAUGAAACAUGCUAAUGUUGGUUUUUGUCUUGCAUCACAGGGAGAGAAUACAUAAAGAAGGUCCCAGGUUUUCUUUUCCUUGUGCCUCUGUGAAGCUAUAAAGGUAAAAUAAUGGCAUCAAGCUCCACACCCCAUGGGGGGAGCACAAGCACUGAAGCCCCAGUACAGGUACUAGGAUGUCAUAAAGUGUAUUCGAGUCACUGUGCAGCACAUCUGUGUCUUCAGCAGGUCUGUAUGACUGAAAAUGUGUGUAUACAACACUUUCUGUGAGCAGCCUCGUGCCCUGCAGUGCUGGUCCUGGCCAGGGGCUUGUCAUCAUACAGGGGGGAAGGAGAAAGGGAGGACUGUUAAUUUAAUUACUUCGGGUACAUGUUCUCAGAAGGUAGCUGGCACAGUAGUUGGGCCAGGUAAUGAUUGCUCAUCACUGGCUCUGUUUCAGCACUCGCUUCCCAAGAAGGGUUUUUAGGAUUGAUGAUGCUUUGGGAAGAGCCCGGCUGUGAGAGCUGUGCCUGCUCCGCACCAGUCACCGCUGGGACAGCUGAGAAGCCGCUGCAGCCUCUGACCUUGGGCCAGCUCAGGAGCAGCUUAAUAAUACCAGCAAGAUCUAGCGGCCUCAAAUCCUGCGAGCCAGGGAAUAAUCUGCACUUUGACGCUGAUUCUGCGCCCGUUAGGUCGUGCUGCGGUGGGGAGCAGUCACCAUAUGGCUGCUGCGCAGCUGCACAGCCUUUAAGCUCUCUGCUAUUUGCCUGUGCCCAGGGCAUGAUUUUGCAAGGCUCUUGCUGUGUGGGAAUGAAGGAAGGAGGGCUGGCCUGUAUUGCACCAAGCCAGCGGGUCUGCCCCCUGCACCACCCCAGCCGUGAAUGUGUAAAAGUGAGUUAUUUGUGCCUGCUUACGUGGGCAGUGCGCAGCAUGGGUUCGUGGGCAGACAGAACUUGAGUUUACGUCUCUAGGUAUAAGCUCUGGGAAGAGCAGGACAAAAACAAAACAAGAAAAAAAAUCCAACCCACCACAAAAAUGACUUGAAUUAAGGUCUUGGAAAACGAUGCCAGGCUUUUCCAGAAGCUGAUGUCUGUAAAAGCAGAAGUCAGGACAUGGCAGCUCCUUGCACCAUUGCGGAGCAGUGCAGAGAGGUCAGAGCUGCCGGGGCACCUGUAGCGCCGUGCUGUUGUGCCACUGCAUUUUAAGGAUUGAUGCUGUCCACAGGGGAAGCACUGCGAUUCGAUGCAGGAGGCUGCUUCCAGAGGAAAGUCUCCUGUGACGGGAUCAGGUGGUGCCAAACGGCUGGAUCAGAUUUCCCCAAGCUGAGGAUCCGAGCCGUGGUCAGACACACAGCGCUGCUUCUCACAGAGGCGGUGGUACAGCCACAUAAAAGGAGCUUUUUCAUGACUGAUUUAAGAUGGAUAAAUAACUAUUUUUAUUUAUUUAUUAGUUGUUUGUGUCAUAUAUGCACACAGGCAUGCAUACAUACAAAAAAAAAAGGAAACUCUUCUGAGAAAAUUACAUUGGUGAUAUUAUUUUUCUUCUGCAUCUGAAAACAAGCACUUUAAGCUGCAUGUCAUUUUUAGAAAACCCCCUGAGCAUAAAUGCCAGAGUAAGGCAUCCCAUACUUAUUAAGCCACCAUCUUUACAUGCCUUAGCUGUGUGAUGCCAUGAUGGCAGCCACUGAUCUCGGUGCUUGUUCACUCACGUAUUUGUGUUUCAGGUGUGUUACAUUUUUUUUUUCAGUCAUGAGAGGCUGAGUGAACGCUUCCAGAAGGGACUGCGUGUCACUGCUGCUUAGGCCUUGCUGCAAGUAGCCUCGCCUUGUUCACUCCAUCCAUCAAUAAGAGGGCUGCAUUGCCUGGGAUUCGAUUAGACAUGAAAACUGAAAUUAAUAAUGCCAGAAUACCAAGCCUUGAUCUUCAGAUUAAAGAGCUGUCUUUAUAAGCAGUGAUCAACUACCCUGUUAACCUUCUUCUGGAUAAGAUAGAUUGCGUUUCUUAAGUCUCUCAUUUAUAAG